CCGCGUGAGUGAUGAAGGCUUUCGGGUCGUAAAACUCUGUUGUUAGGGAAGAUACAAGUACAAGAGUAACUGCUUGUACCUUGACGGUACCUAACCAGAAAGCCACGGCUAACUACGUGCCAGCAGCCGCGGUAAUACGUAGGUGGCAAGCGUUAUCCCGGAAUUAUUGGGCGUAAAGCGCGCGCAGGCGGUUUCUUAAGUCUGAUGUGAAAGCCCACGGCUCAACCGUGGAGGGUCAUUGGAAACUGGGGAACUUGAGUGCAGAAGAGAAAAGCGGAAUUCCACGUGUAGCGGUGAAAUGCGUAGAGAUGUGGAGGAACACCAGUGGCGAAGGCGGCUUUUUGGUCUGUAACUGACGCUGAGGCGCGAAAGCGUGGGGAGCAAACAGGAUUAGAUACCCUGGUAGUCCCACGCCGUAAACGAUGAGUGCUAAGUGUUAGAGGGUUUCCGCCCUU
This 455-nucleotide ribosomal RNA is filed under the name oil-susceptible bacterium OSB15. RNAcentral describes it as "bacterial SSU rRNA". It matches the Rfam family "Bacterial small subunit ribosomal RNA", at positions 397 to 840 of the family's 1533-position model. The record is from RNAcentral.